Long non-coding RNA from Haliotis rubra (blacklip abalone), 166 nucleotides. RefSeq lists it as uncharacterized. NCBI's taxonomy places the organism in Eukaryota, Metazoa, Mollusca, Gastropoda, Lepetellida, Haliotidae. The transcript has 3 exons. The record is from RefSeq and is a predicted model, not a curated record.
AUCAUGAAAACUGUAACGAUUAGAAGUACAUAUACUCGCUUAAUACACUAUUAACCGUCUAACAGAGAUACUAAUACAUACCACGUAUUGACUGGGAUGCCGUGUGACCAUUGUAGCAGCAGUUAGAGAACAUGGUUGGAAAUAGGAGCAUACAUGUAUAUGUGUC